UACGUAGGGGGCAAGCGUUGUCCGGAAUCAUUGGGCGUAAAGAGCGUGUAGGCGGCUCGAUAAGUCUGCUGUGAAAGUCCAGGGCUCAACCCUGGAAGGCCGGUGGAAACUGUCGGGCUAGAGUUCGGAAGAGGCGAGUGGAAUUCCCGGUGUAGCGGUGGAAUGCGCAGAUAUCAGGAGGAACACCGAUAGCGAAGGCAGCUCGCUGGGACGGUACUGACGCUGAGGCGCGAAAGCGUGGGGAGCGAACAGG
RNAcentral lists this ribosomal RNA (253 nucleotides) under uncultured bacterium. RNAcentral describes it as "partial 16S ribosomal RNA". It matches the Rfam family "Bacterial small subunit ribosomal RNA", at positions 524 to 776 of the family's 1533-position model. The record is from RNAcentral.